AGUGAACGCUGGCGGCAGGCCUAAUACAUGCAAGUCGAACGGCAGCACAGCAGAGCUUGCUCUGUGGGUGGCGAGUGGCGGGACGGGUGAGGAAUACGUGGGAAUCUGCCCAGUCGUGGGGGAUAACGUAGGGAAACUUACGCUAAUACCGCAUGCGCCCUUCGGGGGAAAGCCGGGGACCUUCGGGCCUGGCGCGAUUGGAUGAGCCCACGUCGGAUUAGCUAGUUGGCGGGUAAAGGCCCACCAAGGCGACGAUCCGUAGCUGGUCUGAGAGGAUGAUCAGCCACACUGGAACUGAGACACGGUCCAGACUCCUACGGGAGGCAGCAGUAGGGAAUAUUGGACAAUGGGCGCAAGCCUGAUCCAGCCAUGCCGCGUGAGUGAAGAAGGCCCUCGGGUUGUAAAGCUCUUUGUCCGGAAAGAAAGCGCCGGGUUAAUACCCUGGUGUCCUGACGGUACCGGAAGAAUAAGCACCGGCUAACUUCGUGCCAGCAGCCGCGGUAA
This 504-nucleotide ribosomal RNA is filed under the name uncultured bacterium. RNAcentral describes it as "bacterial SSU rRNA". It matches the Rfam family "Bacterial small subunit ribosomal RNA", at positions 29 to 523 of the family's 1533-position model. The record is from RNAcentral.